CCUACGGGAGGCAGCAGUGAGGAAUAUUGGUCAAUGGACGAGAGUCUGAACCAGCCAAGUAGCGUGAAGGAUGACGGCCCUAUGGGUUGUAAACUUCUUUUAUAUGGGAAUAAAAUGUUCCACGUGUGGAAUUUUGUAUGUACCAUAUGAAUAAGGAUCGGCUAACUACGUGCCAGCAGCCGCGGUAAUACGGAGGAUCCGAGCGUUAUCCGGAUUUAUGGGGUUUAAAGGGAGCGUAGGUGGCUUGUUAAGUCAGUUGUGAAAGUUUGAGGCUCAACCAUAAAAUUGCAGUUGAAACUGGCAGUCUUGAGUACAGUAGAGGUAGGCGGAAUUCGUGGUGUAGCGGUGAAAUGCGUAGAUAUCACGAAGAACUCCGAUGGCGAAGGCAGCUUACUGGACUGUAACUGACACUGAGGCUCGAAAGCGUGGGUAUCAAACAGGAUUAGAUACCCUUGUAGUC
Molecule: ribosomal RNA, 460 nt
Filed under: uncultured bacterium
Lineage: Bacteria
Description: partial 16S ribosomal RNA
Rfam family: Bacterial small subunit ribosomal RNA
Source: RNAcentral